GAACGGGAACUUUUUUGGUAGCAAUACCGGAGAAGUUUUAGUGGCGAACGGGUGCGUAACACGUGGGCAAUCUGCCGAGAAGUGGGGGAUAGCUCGCCGAAAGGCGAAUUAAUACCGCAUAUGAUCAGGGAAGACAUCUUUCCAACAUCAAAGCCGGGGCAACCUGGCGCUUCUUGAUGAGCCCGCGGCCUAUCAGCUAGUUGGUGAGGUAACGGCCCACCAAGGCUAUGACGGGUAGCUGGUCUGAGAGGACGACCAGUCACACUGGAACUGAGACACGGUCCAGACACCUACGGGUGGCAGCAGUCGAGAAUUUUUCUCAAUGGGGGCAACCCUGAAGGAGCGACGCCGCGUGGAGGAUGAAGGCUUUCGGGUUGUAAACUCCUGUCAUUUGGGAACAAGCUGCUCGCGUUUACUGCGUGGGCAUUGAUAGUACCAGAAGAGGAAGAGACGGCUAACUCUGUGCCAGCAGCCGCGGUAAUACAGAGGUCUCAAGCGUUGUUCGGAUUCAUUGGGCGUAAAGGGUGCGUAGGUGGCGUCGUAAGUCGGGUGUGAAAUUUCGGAGCUUAACUCCGAAACUGCAUUUGAUACUGCGGUGCUUGAGGACUGGAGAGGAGACUGGAAUUUACGGUGUAGCAGUGAAAUGCGUAGAGAUCGUAAGGAAGACCAGUGGCGAAGGCGGGUCUCUGGACAGUUCCUGACACUGAGGCACGAAGGCCAGGGGAGCAAACGGGAUUAGAUACCCCGGUAGUCCUGGCAGUAAACGGUGCACGUUUGGUGUGGGAGGAUUCGACCCCUUCCGCGCCGGAGCUAACGCGUUAAACGUGCCGCCUGGGGAGUACGGUCGCAAGAUUAAAACUCAAAGAAAUUGACGGGGG
This 878-nucleotide ribosomal RNA is filed under the name uncultured Verrucomicrobiae bacterium. RNAcentral's name for it is "bacterial SSU rRNA". It matches the Rfam family "Bacterial small subunit ribosomal RNA", at positions 64 to 919 of the family's 1533-position model. Lineage: Bacteria; Pseudomonadati; Verrucomicrobiota; Verrucomicrobiia. The record is from RNAcentral.